ACUCCUGCGGGAGGCAGCAGUGGGGAAUUUUGGACAAUGGGCGAAAGCCUGAUCCAGCCAUGCCGCGUGCAGGAUGAAGGCCUUCGGGUUGUAAACUGCUUUUGUACGGAACGAAACGGCCUUUUCUAAUAAAGAGGGCUAAUGACGGUACCGUAAGAAUAAGCACCGGCUAACUACGUGCCAGCAGCCGCGGUAAUACGUAGGGUGCAAGCGUUAAUCGGAAUUACUGGGCGUAAAGCGUGCGCAGGCGGUUAUGUAAGACAGUUGUGAAAUCCCCGGGCUCAACCUGGGAACUGCAUCUGUGACUGCAUAGCUAGAGUACGGUAGAGGGGGAUGGAAUUCCGCGUGGAGCAGUGAAAUGCGUAGAUAUGCGGAGGAACACCGAUGGCGAAGGCAAUCCCCUGGACCUGUACUGACGCUCAUGCACGAAAGCGUGGGGAGCAAACAGGAUUAGAAACCCCGGUAGUCCC
RNAcentral lists this ribosomal RNA (470 nucleotides) under uncultured organism. RNAcentral's name for it is "partial 16S ribosomal RNA". It matches the Rfam family "Bacterial small subunit ribosomal RNA", at positions 335 to 797 of the family's 1533-position model. The record is from RNAcentral.